This 466-nucleotide ribosomal RNA is filed under the name uncultured bacterium. RNAcentral's name for it is "partial 16S ribosomal RNA". It matches the Rfam family "Bacterial small subunit ribosomal RNA", at positions 28 to 507 of the family's 1533-position model. The record is from RNAcentral.
GAUGAACGCUGGCGGCGUGCUUAACACAUGCAAGUCGAACGAUGAAGCCCAGCUUGCUGGGUGGAUUAGUGGCGAACGGGUGAGUAACACGUGAGUAACCUGCCCUUAACGCUGGGAUAAGCCUGGGAAGCUGGGUCUAAUACCGGAUAGGAGCGCCUACCGCAUGGUGGGUGUUGGAAAGAUUUAUCGGUUUUGGAUGGACUCGCGGCCGAUCAGCUUGUUGGUGAGGUAAUGGCUCACCAAGGCGACGACGGGUAGCCGGCCUGAGAGGGUGACCGGCCACACUGGGACUGAGACACGGCCCAGACUCCUACGGGAGGCAGCAGUGGGGAAUAUUGCACAAUGGGCGAAAGCCUGAUGCAGCGACGCCGCGUGAGGGAUGACGGCCUUCGGGUUGUAAACCUCUUUCAGUAGGGAAGAAGCGAAAGUGACGGUACCUGCAGAAGAAGCACCGGCUAACUACGUG